AUUGGGCAUGUGAUGAAUCCCGUUUGUAUAAAAGGGUUAUUUGAGUCUGAAACUAUUAUUGAUGCUCUAUCACCUUGGAGACCUGAUGCCCUUU
Morus notabilis is the source of this 94-nucleotide non-coding RNA. Lineage: Eukaryota; Viridiplantae; Streptophyta; Magnoliopsida; Rosales; Moraceae. The record is from Rfam.